UGCGUAGGCGGAAGUAUAAGUCGAGGGGUGAAAGUUUGUGGCUCAACCAUAAAAUUGCCUUUGAUACUGUAUUUCUUGAGUACAUUUGAGGUAGGCGGAAGUGUGUUGUGUAGCGGUGAAAUGCUUAGAUAUAACACAGAACACCGAUUGCGAAGGCACGCUUAACUAAACUGUAACUGACGCUGAUGCACGAAAGCGUGGGGAUCGAACAGGAUUAGAUACCCUGGUAG
Molecule: ribosomal RNA, 230 nt
Filed under: uncultured bacterium
Lineage: Bacteria
Description: partial 16S ribosomal RNA
Rfam family: Bacterial small subunit ribosomal RNA
Source: RNAcentral